UACAGAGGUCUCAAGCGUUGUUCGGAUUCAUUGGGCGUAAAGGGUGCGUAGGCGGCGCGGUAAGUCGGGUGUGAAAUCUCGGGGCUUAACUCCGAAACUGCAUUCGAUACUGCCGUGCUUGAGGCCGGGAGAGGCGAGUGGAAUUCCCAGUGUAGCGGUGAAAUGCGUAGAUAUUGGGAGGAACACCAGUGGCGAAGGCGGCUCGCUGGACCGGUUCUGACGCUGAUGCGCGAAAGCGUGGGGAGCAAACGGG
Molecule: ribosomal RNA, 253 nt
Filed under: uncultured prokaryote
Description: partial 16S ribosomal RNA
Rfam family: Bacterial small subunit ribosomal RNA
Source: RNAcentral